Molecule: ribosomal RNA, 776 nt
Filed under: uncultured Neocallimastigales
Lineage: Eukaryota; Fungi; Neocallimastigomycota; Neocallimastigomycetes; Neocallimastigales
Description: partial large subunit ribosomal RNA
Rfam family: Eukaryotic large subunit ribosomal RNA
Source: RNAcentral
CGCAUCUGUGCAUGCAGCAUAUCAAUAAGCGGAGGAAAAGAAACUAACAAGGAUUCCCUUAGUAACGGCGAGUGAAGCGGGAAGAGCUCAAAUUUGAAAUCUUCAAGGGUUCUACCUUUACGAAUUGUAGUUUAAAGAAGUGUUUUCUGUUAGAUGAGUAGCAAAAGUUCCUUGGAAUAGGGACAUCAUAGAGGGUGAGAAUCCCGUAUUUGGUUAUUCAUUCUAACUUUGUGAUACACUUUCAAAGAGUCGGAUUGUUUGGGAAUGCAGUCCAAAAUGGGUGGUAAGUUUCAUCUAAAGCUAAAUAUUGGCGAGAGACCGAUAGCGAACAAGUACCGUGAGGGAAAGAUGAAAAGAACUUUGUAAAGAGAGUUAAACAGUACGUGAAAUUGUCAAAAGGGAAGCGUUUGACACCAGUGUUGUUUUUCUGAAAAUCAAUUAAAGAACUGUUUAUGCUAAGCUGUUUAGACUUUAUCAGCUAUCUGCUUAGUUUUGAGCUUUUCUUUAAUGCACUUUUCAGUUAACAAGUCAACAUCAAUUUCUUUUGCUGUAAAAAAGCUUGAGGAAGGUGGCUUGAGAUUCGUCUUAAGUGUUUAUAGCCUCUUGCCUAUGCAGUCGGAGAGAUUGAGGUCUGCAGCGUAGAUCCUUCGGGGCUAAAUGCAUUUGUGCUAAGUUAUAGCAUUUUAUAGACAACUUGUUGACUAUGAUUUGUCUUGUAGCUUACUCGCUUAUGUUAUUUUACCUACGCUUAGGAUGUUGAGCGCAUGUCUCUCUCU